This 200-nucleotide unclassified non-coding RNA is filed under the name Myxotrichum sp. RNAcentral's name for it is "partial internal transcribed spacer 2". The record is from RNAcentral. Lineage: Eukaryota; Fungi; Ascomycota; Leotiomycetes; Myxotrichaceae.
UUAAGUUCAGCGGGUAUCCCUACCUGAUCCGAGGUCAACCAUAGAAGUUGGGGUUCUGGCGUGCAGCCGCAGGACCCUAGAGCGAGAGCAUUACUACGCUUAGGACCGUACGGUGCCGCCACUGACUUUGGGGCCGGCCGCAGCGGGCAGGGCCCAACACCAAGCAAGGCUUGAGGGUUGAAAUGACGCUCGAACAGGCA